GUCGACGCGCUUCGGAAACUGGGGGACUUGAGGGCAGGAGAGGCGAGCGGAAUUCCCGGUGUAGCGGUGAAAUGCGUAGAGAUCGGGAAGAACACCAGUGGCGAAGGCGGCUCGCUGGACUGGCCCUGACGCUGACGCGCGAAAGCGUGGGGAGCGGACGGGAUUAGAUACCCCGGUAGUCCACGCCGUAAACGAUGGGCACUAGGUGUGGGAGGUAUCGACCCCUCCCGUGCCGGAGUUAACACACUAAGUGCCCCGCCUGGGGAGUACGGCCGCAAGGUUGAAACUCAAAGGAAUUGACGGGGGCCCGCACAAGCAGUGGAGCAUGUGGUUUAAUUCGACGCAACGCGAAGAACCUUACCCGGGCUUGACAUCCCCGGAACACCCGAGAGAUCGGGUGGCUCUACGGAGCCGGGAGACAGGUGCUGCAUGGUUGUCGUCAGCUCGUGUCGUGAGAUGUUGGGUUAAGUCCCGCAACGAGCGCAACCCUUGUCCCGUGUUACCAGCGUAAAGGCGGGGACUCACGGGAGACUGCCGGUGACAAACCGGAGGAAGGUGGGGAUGACGUCAAAUCAUCAUGGCCCUUAUGUCCGGGGCUACACACGUGCUACAAUGGCCGGCACAGCGGGAUGCGAAGGGGCGACCCGGAGCGAAUCCCUGAAAGCCGGUCCCAGUUCGGAUCGCAGGCUGAAACCCGCCUGCGUGAAGCCGGAAUUGCUAGUAAUCGCGGAUCAGCAUGCCGCGGUGAUACGUUCCCGGGCCUUGUACACACCGCCCGUCACACCACGAGAGUCGGCAACACCCGAAGCCGGUGGAGCGAACCCGCAAGGGACGCAGCCGUCGAAGGUGGGGCGGAUGAUUGGGGUGAAGUCGUAACAAGGU
RNAcentral lists this ribosomal RNA (882 nucleotides) under uncultured Bacillota bacterium. RNAcentral describes it as "bacterial SSU rRNA". It matches the Rfam family "Bacterial small subunit ribosomal RNA", at positions 615 to 1497 of the family's 1533-position model. The record is from RNAcentral. Lineage: Bacteria; Bacillati; Bacillota.